GGCGGACGGGUGAGUAAUGUCUGGGAAACUGCCCGAUGGAGGGGGAUAACUACUGGAAACGGUAGCUAAUACCGCAUAACGUCGCAAGACCAAAGAGGGGGACCUUCGGGCCUCUUGCCAUCGGAUGUGCCCAGAUGGGAUUAGCUAGUAGGUGGGGUAACGGCUCACCUAGGCGACGAUCCCUAGCCGGUCUGAGAGGAUGACCAGCCACACUGGAACUGAGACACGGUCCAG
Molecule: ribosomal RNA, 234 nt
Filed under: uncultured bacterium
Lineage: Bacteria
Description: partial 16S ribosomal RNA
Rfam family: Bacterial small subunit ribosomal RNA
Source: RNAcentral